CUGGCGGCAUGCCUAACACAUGCAAGUCGAACGAGACUUCGGUCUAGUGGCGGGACGGGUGAGUAACGCGUAGGAACCUACCAAGUAGGUGGGGGAUAACAGCUAGGAAACGGCUGCUAAUACCGCAUACGCCCGUUCGGGGGAAAGAUUUAUCGCUUAUUUGAGGGUCCUGCGUUCGAUUAGCUUGUUGGCGGGGUAACGGCCCACCAAGGCGACGAUCGAUAGCUGGUCUGAGAGGAUGAUCAGCCACACUGGGACUGAGACACGGCCCAGACUCC
This 278-nucleotide ribosomal RNA is filed under the name unidentified marine bacterioplankton. Its description in RNAcentral is "partial 16S ribosomal RNA". It matches the Rfam family "Bacterial small subunit ribosomal RNA", at positions 36 to 339 of the family's 1533-position model. The record is from RNAcentral.